GGGCUUGUACGCGGACAAAAACCAAGCUCCAAGCACAGGCCAUAACAUGUGGAAAUGCAAGAGCCCCCUUGGCAGUGCUGUUAUAAAGCCUUGAUCCUUAUUCAUGAUGCUAUCCUGCUAAAUAUACUGUCCAAUAAAGAUUGUCUUUGCAGUAUGUACAGUAUUUUAUAUGUGUCAUAUCUGAGUUUAAAAUGCCUUGUACCGUUAGAUAUUUUGUCUCCUUCAGUAGGACAAAAAAAAAAAUCCAGACAGUAAUUGUUUGACUUGGGGCAUGGGAAAUAAUUCAAGCUUAAGCUGGAAUGGGUGUCACCCUCUGCCCUAGGUCUCUGUCUGAAUGUGGGAAAAAAAUACAGGAUUUAUGCUAAAAUGUAGGGUCUUAUUUUGCUCCCACUGCCUACGUAUGCAAAUUUAAACUUUUAGGCAUUUUUAGUAUUAGUCCACUAACUACUGGAUUUAUAGCAUGUCAUGACCCAGCUCAUAAAACAUGAUGAAAAGAAUGGAAAAUACACAGUCUGCUAAACAUUUCACAAGUUUAAUACAAAUAACUGUGUAUCAGUAAGUGAGUGUGUUGGUGGUUGGGUGAGUGGAAGAUGUAUGGAGCGUAUUGUUUGGUGUGAAAAUAAACUACAAAGAUGGCCAAAGCCAACUGAGCAAAACUAUGUUAGAGGCACCCCCUGAGGACGACAGAGGGGCAAAAGCUCUGAGCAACAUAAACCAGAGUAAAAUGAAGCUACCUGAAGACACUUUUGUUCCAGCACAGUUCACUGUCUGUUCUCCCGAUGCAAAGCAGCAACAGCAGGCUGAGGCUGCACAGCUUGGCCCCAAACCUUCAACAUUCACAUCUUCUCUUGUAUGUUUUGCAGCUAGACUUCCUCUUUGGUUCUGUUUCUGAUGCUGCUUAUAGUUAAAGCCCCACUGCCCAAAAAUUUCUGCCAAUUUGGGGCAUCACUCUCGAGGGAUUCGAGUCUUUUCUUUAGUUUCCAGCACUACUCUAUUCUCUUCAUUUUCUUGGAUUUUUUAAAAAUGUCAUUAACUUAUUUAUUUUCUUGACAAGGACAUCCAUCAUCUGAACUCCAAAAGUGCACCUCACCCAAGAUUUUAGCUUGAAGUGCUGCCCUGAAUCUGACUGAAAAACAAAAGUUGGAGUUUCCCAAGGCUCAAUUCUCAGGUCUCUUAUAUUAAACAUUUUACAAUUAGUGCUUAAAAAACUCUAUCAGAACCCUUACCUUGGUUGUUGUCAUGCAUGUAAACAUUUCCAUCAAACAUUUACUCCUGAGUGUAACCUCAGCUGACUUUGUACAAAGAUUUAAAGAAACUUUAUCAGGACACAAAUUUUAAAAAAGGUGUUACCAUUCAGUCUAACAUGCCAGAAUAAGUCUAAAACUUAGGGCCUGAUCUACUGAGAUCCCAAACAGCGAACACUAAAUUGCGUGUGCGAACUAAAAAAUUGCACAUGCUUUUAGUGGGUGUGUUGCGGGUGAUCUACUAUCAUUGCGUGUGCAACUAAUAAAAGGUGGAGGAGUGGUGCGGACCGCCCUCUUUAAACAAGGAUUUUGUGUGCACUAUUGGCUGUCACCGGGGAGAGUUUGUGAGAGCAGAGUGAUCAACAAUGAAAAAUGAAGUUUGAAGCCAUGUAGUUGCACCUAUCGUUUUGGGGAACUGUGUAAAAGGCAAGCAAGGCAAGUUUAUUUGUACAGCACCAUUUAUACACAAGGCAAUUCAAAGUGCUUUACAGAUGCAAAAAAAUAUUUAGAAAUCAAAAAAGGGAUUAAAACAAUUUAAAAGUAAUAAGACAAACAUAAUUUUUUUUUGUGUGUUCCAUGUUUGACUUAUUUAUUUUCUUGACAAGGACAUCCAUCAUCUGAAUGUAGUGUUACAAAGAGUUUUUCAGAAGGAGAUAUGGCAUGGAUCAUUUUUGUGACUGACUCCAAAUCAGCCCUUAGGUCACUCAGCAUAAUUAUUACUAUUACCCAACUAUUUUUUAUCUCUGACAGUCCAAAUAUGUUGACACAUGCAGGGAAGACUAUCUCUUCGUCAUCUAUCAUUGCACUUCUGCUUCCUUCUUCCCACAAUGACCAUAUGUAAUUCUGUGCCAGUUUGCAUGUGCUUUUCAAACAUGCUAAAUAAAGACGCAAACCAGCGACUGCAAUUGAUAUUCGGAUUUGAUAAAUCACAUUGAGGGUGCUAAAUUAUUCUAUUUACAUCUGCUCCUGCCAGUAUUUUACGCGGCCGGGUGAUCUACAUACAUUCUGCAUUUUCAUGAAGGCAAAUACGCUAAAUCAAUUGUGCGUGCUGUUUUGCUCAUUUGACAGACGCAAUCCUUGGUGCACCUGGUUGGUAGAUGAGGUUUGUGCGUGCUAACAAGUUUGCAUGUGUAUUUGCACAUGCACACCUUUAGUAGAUCAGGCCCUUAGUGUUUGGUUCCCAUCAGUUUGUUUGCCAAAAAAUCCUCUUUGAAAAAUAGUACUAGUGGUUAGCACUUGUUGGGAAAGAGCCAAGACAAAUUUCUUAUCUGCAGUGAUGUCCAACAUGGAAAAAAAUCUCCUUUGUCCUCUCACUUCUGUAUCAGCGCUUAGGCCAUUAAUAGUUUGGUCACUUCCUCUUUAGGCCAAGUCAUCAGAUAGCUUUGUCACCUCUGCUCAGCUCUGAUAAUGUGUCUUCAUAUCAUCCCUCUCAUACAGGUCUGCUCAUACAUAUUAAUUGGAAAUCAAAUUGAAGAAGCACCUCCAUCCCCCUGUCACUUUUGCUGAGGUAUUAAUGGAAAGCCAUUAACCUGUUAACGACCACCACACUGUAAUGGUCAAUUAAGUGUCAUUAUACAUGCAUUUAUUCAAUUUUGUGUUGCAGAGUUCAAACAUCAGAGCCCAGCACAAAAUGAGAAGCUUCAAACACACAUACAAAAAAAAAAUGCCGUUGAUGGUAAUGGUUUAUACAGUCUAGUACAGUCUACUCUGUACUGGAGAGUGUCUAAUGUAUUUGCCCAGUGCUCUCCCAAACCAAACAUUACACUCUUCCUUCCUGCAGGGAGGGAGAAAAUGAAGCCGUUCUCUACUGAGAUUUGUCCCUCGUUGCUGCUGUCAUCACUUCAAACUGCCAGGUCAUUACUGCACCACAAGCAGCUUGGCUUAAUGUCUUUUGACUUAACACUAAUGACUGACUCUGCAUCUGUCCCUGCAGGGAGGAGAGCGGACGAGAGCACCGUGAAAAGCCACGCUAACUCUUAUUUGUGACAAUUAAGGCGGCGAUUUGCAUUUCAUCAGUUUUCUUAAAGUACUCCAACAAGGAUGUUUGGGGUUUCUGUAUGCCUGUUAACAAAGAAAUUAUGUCCCAUUAGGGGAGAGGAGAUGAUAAUAGGAGAGGUAGGAGAGGGAGAGGAGUAGAAGAGUCAAAACUCUCCCAUUUCCUUUCUGUCUUUCCUUCAUAUCUUCCCUCCACCUCCCUUCCAUCUACAUCUCUCAUAUCCAUCCCUCUUUUUAGCCCCUUUUUUCCCACUCUGAGCACAGUGUCGGAUAACCCAUGCAUAUUUAACAUUGCUGCAUCUUCAAAGCUAUGAACUUAUUCAUUAGCAUUUAGAGUGCUAAUGAAAGCACGCAGAGAGCUAGCACCCUCGCUGUUUCUCUUCACCUCCUCUCGACUCUACUCAUCCAACCCCACACCACCCGCUGCACAUGACACUAUCUACAGCACCUCAACCCCCAACCUGUCCAACCUCCCCCCUCGGCCGUGCUAUCUCUCCCUCUUUUUAACACAGAAUUCAAUUACAGAAGCAGCAAGUUACAAUUUAAAACAGAAAUGAGUGGGAGGAAAAGCAAAGUCUUGCUUGUUUUCUCUUAGUCUUCAUCUGUCACAAUUUCCACACAAAUUUCACUCAAUUUAUAUUUCCUCAGUACUUUUUUUCAGUUUCUUAAAUUGCUGCUUUUUCUGCUCUCUGCUCUCCAGCCUGGAGAUGAGAGGAGUUCCCAGGGGUCAUGAAGGUGUGUUGUUCUUUCCAUCACAUGCCCUCAUUCUUCCUGAGUCUCUUUCUCACAGUAAACACUCUCUCUUGGCCUCUCGCUGCACAGAAAAGACAGGAAGUGGCUUGAUGCUCAGUUAAUUGGGCAGGACACAGUGUUUUCCUCUCCCGUUCAGGUCCACUGAGUGAACAAAGUGGAAAGGGGAAAGCCUCUUUUUCACAGGAGCUGUGAAAGUCUCCAUCUUCUCCCAGCUCGUGGCUUCAGUUUCAAUCUGUCCCCCCCGCUCAAGCUGCCCCUUUCUGAAGAAAAAGCUUUUGAAGCCAAGGUGACGCACUCAAAAUGGGGGCGGAUCUCUACACCGCCUCCACAGCUACAGAUUUGUCGCUCUCCCACACUAAAACACAGGAGCCCAAGCAGGUAGCCUGAUUGACGGAGAGCAAAGGGAGACAGAGAGUGUACAGAAGCAAUAAAGGAGGAACUGGAGGGAGUGAUGAGGGAAGACAGACGCUGGAGAUAGUGAAUGCUUCGGAGAGAAGAAGGGUCUGGAAUGAGAGAGUUAAUCUGCAGAGAAACAGAUUGGCUUCCCAUCCCUCCUUCAAAGGAAAGCACAAAUUCAGCACUCUGAGACUCUCUCGCACUUUCUCACACACACACACACACACGCACACAUACUGUACUAUGCAUACGCUCUCACGGGACUUCACACACAAAAGAAAUUCAAAUGCUGGACACUCAAGCACGCAGCUUAUACAUGUAAAGCACAUGCAAAAUUUUCAGAGAUGCUUAUAUCGAAAGAACAUGGUCUUGAUUCAUCAGUAUGUGCCUUAUUCGGCGGCUGAUUGCUGCGCUCCAUCUCUGGCACAAAAACACUUGGGGUGACCACACAAUAGGGUCGGCCAAAAGAUAUGGGUCAAUAAAACACGAGGGACAUUUGAGCUCAAAAGGAAAUUGAUUUCCCAGCAGCCAGAAUAUUCUGCAACCUUCACAAACCUUCAGAGACCUGUUUCCUGUCACUUAAAUAAGGCUGAGCUAUAUAGGGUUUGGUCAAGUCCUGUCUCAGGACUGGCACCAUAGCUCUUGGCAUUUCACAGUGCAUUAGUCAAUAUCUUGACCUCAUUAGUCGAUACAGGAGCUUUAUCAUACUUAUCACAGUGCUUCAUACCAUUGAAAAUUUUAAGUGGCCAAAGAUGAUUAAGAAAUCUAAAGUUUCUCCUUUCACAACAGAUUGAAUAUAUCUGGUAAAAUUUGUUGUGAGAGGAUUUUGUUGAGGUUCUGUUUAUGUGCUAUUUUAAAGGUUCCACACACGUCCAAGGGGGAUACUAAAGCAGGGUGUGCAGAUCUCAAGGUAACUUACACUUAUUUUUCUAUAUCCGUUUCCAAAGCUAAAAUGAUAAUGGGUGAAGAAGUGUUUUCCAGUUUAUUAUUCUGUGCUCAAAUGUCUUGGCCUAAAAUAGUGGCUUGCUCAUGGUGGAGAGGAUGUGUUUCAGGUUGCUAGCAACCGUCAACCUUGGGUCUCGAAAAAUGAUCGAUGAUAAGUCUCUAAGACUAGUCUUUGUUCAUAGGCAGAAAGAUUUCAAACAUCUACAUUUUCUGUGAUUAUGGUUAUUACAGUUGCAGCCUGCCAAGACAUGUUAUGACAAUGGUAGACCCAUAGACUAUAUAUAGAAUGGACGCCGUCUGCCUCCUCGCUGGGCGAAGUCACCCCAAGAACAGCACCCUCUGUUGACGGGCUGCAGUAUAGGUCAUAAAUCCCGCCUCCUCCACCAUUCCCAUGGAGCUGUGGACAAACUUGAGAAAUUUAUUACAGCUCAGUUUUUUUAAGUUAUUAGGGGGUUCAUGUUUUCUAUGAUUGGCACUUGAUACAGCCUAUGGGCGUAUGGAGAUUGCGUAGCUCACCCGGAGGAUAGGCUAUUUGAGCCGAGCAUCAUCACAGUGACUCUCGGCUAAGGUGACCAGAUGUCUGUAAUGAAAUCCGGGGACAUUCGGUGCAGUGGCAUCUCUGUACUAUUUAGUAGCAGCGCAUGCCCCUUGUAAUAACCCCCCGUUAAAACUUUUGUCCAGGACUGCUUACUUGUGCUUCCUACCCAUUCGGCUACGGUAAUAACAGUUAUUCUAGCCUACACGCAACAUUUUUGUUCUCAUUCAUGAAACGCUUAAAUCAGGGACAUUUUCAGGGACAGCUUUUGCCAGGGACAGGUCAUCCAAUUCGGGGACUGUCGCGGGAAAUUGGGGACGUCUGGUCACCUCACUCUCGGCGACUCUCCUGCCGAAUGCGUACAAUGCUACUGCACAAGUGGUGGAGUGCGUACAACACUACUGCGCAAUGUUGGUUUCAGGAAGUAGAGAAAAAACGCAGAAUUACAGAGACCCUUUUUUAGCUUCAAAUCCGUAUACAGGCAGAAGGUGGAACCAAGUUGUCCAUAGUAUAUACAGUCUAUGGGUAGACCUCAAAGUCCCCAGGUGUGACAAUUGAGAUAAUGCAGUGACAAAAACAGCAUCUUGUGAAUAUAAGCUGAGUAUAUUAAGUGGCAUUCAGGGUCAGUGGGUUCUCCUUGGGACAAGUUCAGCGAUUACAAGUGGACCAUUACAUGCUUUGGUUCUGAUUUAUAUUGUUUAAAAGCCUGAGGCAUUUACUUAUUUUAUUAUGUCAAAAUGUCUUCCUUAUUUGAAUAUCAUUUU
Molecule: long non-coding RNA, 6632 nt
Filed under: Xyrichtys novacula (pearly razorfish)
Lineage: Eukaryota; Metazoa; Chordata; Actinopteri; Labriformes; Labridae
Source: RNAcentral